CCUACGGGAGGCAGCAGUGGGGAAUUUUGGACAAUGGGCGCAAGCCUGAUCCAGCCAUGCCGCGUGCGGGAAGAAGGCCUUCGGGUUGUAAACCGCUUUUGUCAGGGAAGAAAUCCCUUGAGCUAAUACCUCGGGGGGAUGACGGUACCUGAAGAAUAAGCACCGGCUAACUACGUGCCAGCAGCCGCGGUAAUACGUAGGGUGCAAGCGUUAAUCGGAAUUACUGGGCGUAAAGCGUGCGCAGGCGGUUAUGUAAGACAGGUGUGAAAUCCCCGGGCUUAACCUGGGAACUGCACUUGUGACUGCAUAGCUUGAGUGCGGCAGAGGGGGAUGGAAUUCCGCGUGUAGCAGUGAAAUGCGUAGAUAUGCGGAGGAACACCGAUGGCGAAGGCAAUCCCCUGGGCCUGCACUGACGCUCAUGCACGAAAGCGUGGGGAGCAAACAGGAUUAGAUACCCUGGUAGUCCACGCCCUAAACGAUGUCAACUGGUUGUUGGACGGCUUGCUGUUCAGUAACGUAGCUAACGCGUGAAGUUGACCGCCUGGGGAGUACGGCCGCAAGGUUGAAACUUAAGGAAUUGACGG
RNAcentral lists this ribosomal RNA (584 nucleotides) under uncultured bacterium. Its description in RNAcentral is "bacterial SSU rRNA". It matches the Rfam family "Bacterial small subunit ribosomal RNA", at positions 338 to 916 of the family's 1533-position model. The record is from RNAcentral.